UUUUUGUAGAGUUUGAUCCUAGCUCAGGAUGAACGCUGGCGGCGUGGAUAAGGCAUGCAAGUCGAACGAACCAAACCUUUGAAAUAUUUGAGAGCGUAGCAAUACAAUCGAUAGUAUGGACGAGAUUCAUUGGUUAGUGGCGAACGAGGUAGUAACACGUGGGUACGAACCUAAAAGUCAGGAAUAGCCCAGAGAAAUCUGGAGUAAUACUUGAUACACCCUCCGGGGUAAAGAUUUUAU
Molecule: ribosomal RNA, 240 nt
Filed under: Candidatus Nomurabacteria bacterium
Lineage: Bacteria; Candidatus Nomuraibacteriota
Description: partial 16S ribosomal RNA
Rfam family: Bacterial small subunit ribosomal RNA
Source: RNAcentral